UACAUGGGGUGCAAACGUUGCUCGGAAUUAUUGGGCGUAAAGCGCGCGUAGGCGGUUACUCAAGUCGGAUGUGAAAGCCCCCGGCUUAACUGAGGAAGUGCACCCGAAACUGAGUAGCUAGAGUACUAAAGAGGGUCGCGGAAUUCCCGGUGUAGAGGUGAAAUUCGUAGAUAUCGGGAGGAACACCGGUGGCGAAGGCGGCGACCUGGGUCGAUACUGACGCUGAGGCGCGAAAGCGUGGGGAGCAAACAGG
RNAcentral lists this ribosomal RNA (253 nucleotides) under uncultured bacterium. RNAcentral's name for it is "partial 16S ribosomal RNA". It matches the Rfam family "Bacterial small subunit ribosomal RNA", at positions 524 to 776 of the family's 1533-position model. The record is from RNAcentral.